UUUGGUCAGCCAUAUCACCCUGCAACUCACAACUGGCAACCCACUGAAGCUAAACAGGUGUGAGCCUGGUGAGUACCUGGAUGGGAGACCUCCUGGGAAAAACUAAGGUUGCUGCUGGAA
Ribosomal RNA from Lepisosteus oculatus (spotted gar), 120 nucleotides. NCBI's taxonomy places the organism in Eukaryota, Metazoa, Chordata, Actinopteri, Semionotiformes, Lepisosteidae. The record is from Rfam.